GAUGAAGAACGUAGCGAAAUGCGAUAAGUAAUGUGAAUUGCAGAAUUCAGUGAAUCAUCGAAUCUUUGAACGCACCUUGCGCCCUUUGGCCAUUCCGAAGGGCAUGCCUGUUUGAGUAUCAUGAACACCUCAACUCUUUAUGGUUUUCCAUGAUGAGCUUGGACUCUGGGGGUUUUGCUGGCUCACAGUCGGCUCCUCUAAAAUAAAUCAGCUUACCAGUGUUUGGUGGGUAUCAUGGGUGUGAUAACUAUCUACGCUUGUGGUUUUUCCACCAGGUAACCUUCAGCAGUGGAGGUUCGCUGGAGCUCAUAGAUGUCUCUCCUCAGUGAGGACAGCCCUUUGAAUGUUUGAUCUCAAAUCAGGUAGGACUACCCGCUGAACUUAAGCAUAUCAAUAAGCGGAGGA
RNAcentral lists this unclassified non-coding RNA (405 nucleotides) under soil metagenome. Its description in RNAcentral is "partial contains 5.8S ribosomal RNA, internal transcribed spacer 2, and large subunit ribosomal RNA". The stretch from base 1 to 121 matches the Rfam family "5.8S ribosomal RNA", at positions 35 to 154 of the family's 154-position model. The record is from RNAcentral.